This 350-nucleotide ribosomal RNA is filed under the name uncultured Geobacter sp. Its description in RNAcentral is "bacterial SSU rRNA". It matches the Rfam family "Bacterial small subunit ribosomal RNA", at positions 1034 to 1382 of the family's 1533-position model. The record is from RNAcentral. Lineage: Bacteria; Pseudomonadati; Thermodesulfobacteriota; Desulfuromonadia; Geobacterales; Geobacteraceae.
ACAGGUGCUGCAUGGCUGUCGUCAGCUCGUGUCGUGAGAUGUUGGGUUAAGUCCCGCAACGAGCCGCAACCCCUAUCCUCAGUUGCCAUCAUUAAGUUGGGCACUCUGUGGAGACUGCCGGUGUCAAACCGGAGGAGGGUGGGGAUGACGUCAAGUCCUCAUGGCCCUUAUGACCAGGGCUACACACGUGCUACAAUGGCCGGUACAAAGAGUUGCGAUACCGCGAGGUGGAGCUAAUCUCAUAAAGCCGGUCUCAGUUCGGAUUGGAGUCUGCAACUCGACUCCAUGAAGUUGGAAUCGCUAGUAAUCGCGGAUCAGCAUGCCGCGGUGAAUACCGGUUCCCGGGCCUU